AUGCUCAAUUUCUUCCAUUUACAGUCGGAGUGCUGUCAAAAUUAUAUCAUUCUUAUUCAUUCUUAUCUCAUUUCAACCAGAGUGGUUUCAAUUCCUUCUUGUCCAUUGUGCUCGUCAUUCAUGUCUUUGCAACCUUCAAGUUCUCGUAAUGUUCCUUGUUCCUCUUUUCUAACGGAGUAUUUUCAACUUUGUUCAUCUUUGUUGUUUUCUUUCUUCAUUUUGCUCAACCUCUCAAGGUUUGUGGUUUCACUCAUUGGUCGAAGAAGCAACUUAGUUUACCUCUUCUCUUCCUCUUACUUUUCCCUCCGGUGCCAUCCUAGAUCUCGGGACAAGAUCCUCUCGUAG
This 345-nucleotide ribosomal RNA is filed under the name Triticum aestivum (bread wheat). RNAcentral's name for it is "partial small subunit ribosomal RNA". Lineage: Eukaryota; Viridiplantae; Streptophyta; Magnoliopsida; Poales; Poaceae. The record is from RNAcentral.